Molecule: transfer RNA, 78 nt
Filed under: Leclercia adecarboxylata
Lineage: Bacteria; Pseudomonadati; Pseudomonadota; Gammaproteobacteria; Enterobacterales; Enterobacteriaceae
Description: tRNA-OTHER
Source: RNAcentral
CCGCCAUUAGCUCAUCUGGAAGAGCGAACGACACUACAGGGUUGUUAGUACGGGGUUCGAGGCCUCGAUGGCGGUCCA